Molecule: ribosomal RNA, 484 nt
Filed under: uncultured bacterium
Lineage: Bacteria
Description: partial 16S ribosomal RNA
Rfam family: Bacterial small subunit ribosomal RNA
Source: RNAcentral
AUUGAACGCUGGCGGCAGGCCUAACACAUGCAAGUCGAGCGGAUGAAGGGAGCUUGCUCCUGGAUUCAGCGGCGGACGGGUGAGUAAUGCCUAGGAAUCUGCCUGGUAGUGGGGGAUAACGUCCGGAAACGGGCGCUAAUACCGCAUACGUCCUGAGGGAGAAAGUGGGGGAUCUUCGGACCUCACGCUAUCAGAUGAGCCUAGGUCGGAUUAGCUAGUUGGUGGGGUAAAGGCCUACCAAGGCGACGAUCCGUAACUGGUCUGAGAGGAUGAUCAGUCACACUGGAACUGAGACACGGACCAGACUCCUACGGGAGGCAGCAGUGGGGAAUAUUGGACAGUGGGCGAAAGCCUGAUCCAGCCAUGCCGCGUGUGUGAAGAAGGUCUUCGGAUUGUAAAGCACUUUAAGUUGGGGGGAAGGGCAGUAAGUUAAUACCUUGCUGUUUUGACGUUACCAACAGAAUAAGCACCGGCUAACUUCGUG